CAGAAUGUACUGUAUUUCCAACUAGUGUAACUGCUUUUUUUUAAAGAAAUACAUGCACACUUAUACUGUACAUCAGAUAUGUAACAUUAUGGACAUGAAAUGGUACAAGUCUCUACAUUAAAAUCCCUUUCAACGUUUAUAACGGAGGUGUAAGAGGUAUUCAUGUUUGCUCUCGGUAGAGAAGGAGCUUGUCGCAAGCUGUGAGGCAUCCUUAAUUUCGCAAGAUGUUACAAGCAUGCUCUCUUGUAAAGAUAAUGAAGAAAACUAAAUUUCCUUCAUUAGGUAACUAAAGCACAUUAAGCGCAUGGUAAUUUUUUCCUAGUGUUUGCACGCAACAGCUUUUCUUUUUUCCUCCUUUUACGUGUAGUAGCAGCAUGUUUUUUUAAGUUUAUAAAAAACAGGCCUAGUUCAUUUCAAGCACAUCAGUCAUGCACCUGGGAAGAGGGUAUUAAAAAUUGCUUAGUUCCUGCUGUGGAUUAUUUUCGUUUUAAACAGGAAAUCAGCUUUGUUGUUUCAAAAAAAAACAACCCUGAAACUGAAAUUCAUCAAGAGCUUUUGAGCAAUGAAAGAGGCCAUUUUUUUGUGACCCAAUUCCUCCUUCGUCUGUGAGGAAGAGUAGAAUAUUCAGAUCUGAGGUACAACAUAAACACUUAUCAAUUUUCUGCUUACACUGAACAUGCGUAAGCAACUUUUCAACUUUUUUGUUUGGAUCAGAAAGUAAAAAGAUUCUGCAUCUGGCAGUCCAGUUGGGACAGAAACCCUCUGACAUUUGAGUUCUGCAGGAUCAGGACUGGAAAUUCCAGAUAUCCACAGCAUUUCAGUCUAGCCUAGACUGUAUUGGCAGCCUGCCUCCCUCCAGCUGUAAUUUAGAAACUUUUUGAUGCAUGAACUCUUGUUUACACUGUAAUACAUUAUUUCUUAUGCCAAAGAAAAGAGCCUGUAUAAAUAGUCCUGCUGAUACUCUACUGGGUUUCUCUGUCAACAUGGAAAACUGAUUGAAAACUGUUACCGCUAUUGUGCUAGAAUACUAUUAAUGUGAGUAUUGUUCAGUCUCCAUGUAGACUGGCUUCCAGCAGUGUGUACUUUUGGCUUGGAAGCAGGGCACUUUGGGGAAAGGAACAAUUUUUGUUUCAAGAGGGAGACGCUUGAUGCCAAAAAAAUGAUUGCAAAGGCCGGUGCUGCAUACCUGUUUUGACGUUUCUCUGUAAAGGGAUCCCUUCCUCUCCCUUUGCAGUGUAAGGCACCACAGUAAUAAGCUUGUGAAAGAACAGCAAUGAAGCCCCACCUCCACCUCCCACCUUUGUUCAAAGGGUUAGCGAGGAGCGAUGUUCAUGCAACAAA
Non-coding RNA from Lepisosteus oculatus (spotted gar), 1341 nucleotides. The record is from RefSeq and is a predicted model, not a curated record. Lineage: Eukaryota; Metazoa; Chordata; Actinopteri; Semionotiformes; Lepisosteidae.